RNAcentral lists this ribosomal RNA (755 nucleotides) under Stenotrophomonas maltophilia. RNAcentral describes it as "bacterial SSU rRNA". It matches the Rfam family "Bacterial small subunit ribosomal RNA", at positions 75 to 826 of the family's 1533-position model. Lineage: Bacteria; Pseudomonadati; Pseudomonadota; Gammaproteobacteria; Lysobacterales; Lysobacteraceae. The record is from RNAcentral.
UAUGCUCUCUGGGUGGCGAGUGGCGGACGGGUGAGGAAUACAUCGGAAUCUACUCUGUCGUGGGGGAUAACGUAGGGAAACUUACGCUAAUACCGCAUACGACCUACGGGUGAAAGCAGGGGACCUUCGGGCCUUGCGCGAUUGAAUGAGCCGAUGUCGGAUUAGCUAGUUGGCGGGGUAAAGGCCCACCAAGGCGACGAUCCGUAGCUGGUCUGAGAGGAUGAUCAGCCACACUGGAACUGAGACACGGUCCAGACUCCUACGGGAGGCAGCAGUGGGGAAUAUUGGACAAUGGGCGCAAGCCUGAUCCAGCCAUACCGCGUGGGUGAAGAAGGCCUUCGGGUUGUAAAGCCCUUUUGUUGGGAAAGAAAUCCAGCUGGCUAAUACCCGGUUGGGAUGACGGUACCCAAAGAAUAAGCACCGGCUAACUUCGUGCCAGCAGCCGCGGUAAUACGAAGGGUGCAAGCGUUACUCGGAAUUACUGGGCGUAAAGCGUGCGUAGGUGGUCGUUUAAGUCCGUUGUGAAAGCCCUGGGCUCAACCUGGGAACUGCAGUGGAUACUGGGCGACUAGAAUGUGGUAGAGGGUAGCGGAAUUCCUGGUGUAGCAGUGAAAUGCGUAGAGAUCAGGAGGAACAUCCAUGGCGAAGGCAGCUACCUGGACCAACAUUGACACUGAGGCACGAAAGCGUGGGGGAGCAAACAGGAUUAGAUACCCUGGUAGUCCACGCCCUAAACGAUGCGAACUGGAUGUUGG